Molecule: ribosomal RNA, 1365 nt
Filed under: Triticum aestivum (bread wheat)
Lineage: Eukaryota; Viridiplantae; Streptophyta; Magnoliopsida; Poales; Poaceae
Description: partial small subunit ribosomal RNA
Source: RNAcentral
AUGGCAGAAAUUGGAAAGAGGACACCCAAAGUUGGUAUGAGGUUCAGAGAUUCGGAAGAGGCUUGGGAGUUUUGGGUAGAUUAUGGGGGUCACAUUGGCUUCGAUGUGAGGAAAAGAUCCACAAUCAAAAGCAGAUGUGAUGGUGUGAUUACUUCACGCUGGUUUGUUUGUUCCAAUGAAGGCCAUCGAAGGAAAAACCAAACAGAUCAUGAGCCAAAGCGUAUUAGAGCAGAAACAAGAACCAAUUGUAAGGCUCAUGUGAUUGUUACAUAUGAUCGAGUUGCCAACAAUUUUGAAGUCACCGAAGUUGAUUUGGAGCACAAUCACCGCCUUCAAUUGCCACAAACCUGCCACUUGUUAGCAUCACAAAGGAAGAUUUCAGAAGUGCAAGCUUUCGAGAUAGAAACAGCCGAUGAUUCUGGAAUUAUGCCAAAAGCUUCACAUGAGUAUGCUUGUCGUCUAGUUGGUGGCCCUAACAACCUUGGUCACACUUACCGUGACCGAAAGAACCAUUUGCGAAGCAAGCGGCAGCGGGAGUUGGCUUAUGGACAGGCUGGAAGUAUGUUGAAUUAUUUUCGUGACAAGCAGGCUGAGAAUGCAGCAUUCCAAUACCAUUUGCAGUUGGAUAGUGAGGAGCAUAUAGCCAACAUAUUCUGGGUUGAUGCUAAAAUGCUACUUGACUAUGCACACUUUGGCGAUGUUGUCACAUUUGACACUACAUUUGGCACAAACAAAGAGUAUAGGCCAUUUGGUAUUUUUCUUGGGCUGAACCAGUUCAGAAAAACAACCAUUUUUGGUGCUGCAUUGAUGUUCGAUGAAAGAUUUGCUGUUGCUAUUGCGAGGUUGCAUGGAGAUUUACAGUUUGAGGAGGAGCGCAUAGUGAUAGGUGAUCCUUUGACCAAAACGGUUUCAUGUAGUUGUGGGAUGUUCAAUAGGACAGGAAUCUUGUGUGCACAUGGUCUAAAAGUGCUUGAUUUGAUGAACAUAAAGACAUUGCCGGCACAUUAUGUCUUGAAGAGGUGGACUAGAGAAGCUCGCAAUGGAAGUAUACAAGAUAGACAAGGAAGGAAUGUGGUAGAAAAUCCAAAAAUGGAAGCUGAACUUCGAUACAAGGAUUUGUCUCAUAAAUUUCACAAAAUGGCACAAAAAGCAGCCAACUCUCCACAAUGUUGUAUUCUAUUGGAUAAUGCACUUGAUUCCGUCGCUCCGCAUAUACAUGAUUUACUCAAUGCAUCCACUAGUGCCAUGAAUGAACUAUGUAAAGACAAAGAGAAUGUUGACCCAAAUGUGCAGCAAGUAGAUGAGUUGCUUAGAUCUGCACGGCUGAAGAAAAAAGAGGUUCAGUCAAAGAACUUAAGGAGAUAG